Molecule: transfer RNA, 67 nt
Filed under: Trichoprosopon pallidiventer
Lineage: Eukaryota; Metazoa; Arthropoda; Insecta; Diptera; Culicidae
Description: tRNA-Leu
Source: RNAcentral
UCUAUUUUGGCAGAUUAGUGCAAUAAAUUUAGAAUUUAUAUAUAUAAUUUUUUUAUUAUAAAUAGAA